CCAUGCCUGCGCUGCAGCUGACAGCUCAUUGUCAUCCUCAAAUCUCUGGCCCCAAAGGUAUUUUUUCAGCCUGGGAAAGAGGUGGAAGUCGCUAGGGGCUA
Thalassophryne amazonica is the source of this 101-nucleotide long non-coding RNA. RefSeq lists it as uncharacterized. The transcript has 3 exons. The record is from RefSeq and is a predicted model, not a curated record. NCBI's taxonomy places the organism in Eukaryota, Metazoa, Chordata, Actinopteri, Batrachoidiformes, Batrachoididae.